AAUUACAUCAAAGUCCCCCAUGUCUAAUUCUAUUAGGUCCACACUCAAUUUUCUAUCUCCUAUAUCUAUGACGCAGGCUCUGUAUAAAACUUCUCUCAAUAGUGUCAUACUCCCAACAGUAGACACAAACAACACAAAAUCAAAUUUAUUAGGUAAUACAUUAAGUUUUGAUGUAAAAAUAGGUGAAACAAAUGAAAGCAAUGCACCAGUAUCAAUUAAAACAUGAGCAAGAUGGUUACAGAUAGUGUACGUAUCCUGUACCACGUCUGAGUUGGCUUCUACAUCCUGUUGGGUAAGAUUGUAUGCUCUACCCUGGAUAGGAGGUCUGGCCUAAUUCUGGUUCCUCGGGCACUCCCUUGCAUAAUAUUGGGCACUACCACAUAUGCGACAGGUAUUGUUUAGGCGAUAGCAAGGUCGGUUCCCAUGAUCCCUGCCACAAUGUUGAGAGAUCUUAUCGUGUCCUGCCACUGGAGCCUGAGGGGGAGCCUGGAUCAUCGGUCAAGCCUCUUAUUCUAUUGAACAGGCACAGUAGGUACUGGUUGCGGGGUAGAGCUAAGGGUCUAAGGUUCCCUGCUGCCUGAGAGAAGGUGCGGAAGCUCCUCUCCACUAAUUGUGCCUUGGCCAGAAUAACUGAAUAAGUCCUGAGCUUCAGCGCAAACAACUACUAUUUGAUCUCUGGGUGGAGACCCUAUUCAAACCUUCUAGCCUUCCUGCCUUCAUCCAACAAUGUCUCAGGAGAAUAUCAGCCCAACUCUAGAAACUUGCGAGCAUAUUUUGACACAAUUAUGUUCCUCUAGACCAAUUGUACAAACUCCAUCUCCUUCAGAUGUCGGAGAUGCUCUGAAAGGUACUCUACAUAAAAGGGCACCAAGAACUGUUCCCAAGUAACUGGAACAAGCAGGGUAGUCUGUUUGAGUUCCCACCAAUGAUCUGCUUCUCCCACUAGCAUGUAGGUGGCAAGGGUGACUUUCUGCUCAGGAGUCACUCCUAAGGUCUUGAAGGCCUUCUCUAUCUCUUCUAACCAGUACUCGCCAUCUUCGAAAGAGGAUCCCCCUGCAAAAGAGGAAACCAGUGCCAUUUAUAACUAGACUUCGUUCAGGAGACUAUUGAGAAAGUCACAAUCAUCAACAAUAAC
RNAcentral lists this long non-coding RNA (1135 nucleotides) under Carica papaya (papaya). RNAcentral describes it as "long non-coding RNA (CPAP_LNC000803)". The record is from RNAcentral. Lineage: Eukaryota; Viridiplantae; Streptophyta; Magnoliopsida; Brassicales; Caricaceae.